RNAcentral lists this ribosomal RNA (429 nucleotides) under Bacteroidota bacterium. Its description in RNAcentral is "Bacteroidetes bacterium partial 16S ribosomal RNA". It matches the Rfam family "Bacterial small subunit ribosomal RNA", at positions 355 to 776 of the family's 1533-position model. The record is from RNAcentral. Lineage: Bacteria; Pseudomonadati; Bacteroidota.
UAGGGAAUCUUCCGCAAUGGGCGAAAGCCUGACGGAGCAACGCCGCGUGAGUGAUGAAGGUCUUCGGAUCGUAAAACUCUGUUAUUAGGGAAGAACAAAUGUGUAAGUAACUAUGCACAUCUUGACGGUACCUAAUCAGAAAGCCACGGCUAACUACGUGCCAGCAGCCGCGGUAAUACGCAGGUGGCAAGCGUUAUCCGGAAUUAUUGUGCGUAAAGCGCGCGUAGGCGGUUUUUUAAGUCUGAUGUGAAAGCCCACGGCUCAACCGUGGAGAGUCAUUGGAAACUGGAAAACUUGAGUGCUGAAGAGAAAAGUGGAAUUCCAAGUGUUACGGUGAAAUGCGCAGAGAUAUGGAGGAACACCAGUGGCGAAGGCGACUUUCUGGUCUGUAACUGACGCUGAUGUGCGAAAGCGUGGGGAUCAAACAGG